This 590-nucleotide small RNA is filed under the name marine eukaryotic metagenome. The record is from RNAcentral.
GGACAAGUGACGCAGUAUCCUAGUCGGGAACCCUUUUUCGAAGGCGGGCCUAAAAAUCCGUCAAGGGCACAUCGAUGAAGUUCCUGGUGCUGGCUGCUGACGCCCAGUCGGGGGUUGGUACUGGGAGUUAAGGGGGCGGGGCGACCCGCAAUGGCAUGUGGGCGUUGACCCUGCCCCCGCGGAGACCCAAGUGCGUGGGGUUGUUAACGGCAACUGCUAUGGCUUGGGUGUGAACCUGCACGUGGGGAAAGCUGCGUGCAGUGUAGCCUGCCUUGAGUGGUGGCGGUGGAGGCCGGUUUAGCCGGGUCGUUGUCGUCUGGGCCCGUACACAACGGCCCGCGGGUUUAAACCGUCACUGCAAAAGAGGCUAGAAAAAGGUAAUCCCGUCGAGGAAAACUCCUAGGCUGUCUGGGAACCCGGGGCGAUGCGGGGAUUACAGUGUGGACUAAGUGGUAAUCCAGUCCCGAAACCGGCAACGUUUCGGAAUUCCGUUUAAAGGGAAACCGCCGGUAUGGCGACAGCCGGUACGGAAUUGGGAAAACCUGCUGGACCUAAGCCACAACAUUUACCCGCAUCGUUGUCACUUGUCC